AUGACUUGAUGAGUGGCCCGGGACGUCUUCAAAUUUUCUUUGGUUUGGGCAAGGUCUUUCUGAAGGCACUCAUUGUCGUGAAGAGCAACUUUGAGACUACUUCUAUCUUUUGCCAAAGCAGACUUAAGCAGGGUAUUAUCUCUUCGAGCGGCUUUCUCUUCGGCUUCGGCCUCUUGGUAUUUGGGACGGAGGCGUCCGAAGACAGUGUUUGCCUGCGGAUGAUCAGUGUUAGUCUAUCAGUUCAAAAUUAAUGGGCCGAGAUGUAAAUGGAUAAGUUAAGCUUACUCUAGCUUGGUACUUCAUUCCCUCGUUGAUCAGGUCCAUGAUAGAGCUGUUGCUGAACCGGUGGUUGUCGGUAUUACGGACGAAGGAGUUGUAAGCUCAAAUGGAAAAUUCUCUUCUGAUUCUGGCCAGAGAGUGGGGGAUUCCGGGGCUUCGAGCUUGAAGUCCGAGGAGGUUGGUUGUCUUUUUCGAGCAAGUUUGGGUGAUCGCUCCACUUGUUCUUCGGGCUCUUCGUCAGAAACAACGAUUUCAACCGGGAUGAUUGGCGGAGGAUCGGUUUCUGUUAAAGGUACUUGUGGUUCUUCGGAGGCCGGAGAAUUUGCUUGGAUUUUCCUCUUUUUGGCGCGAAGGAUUCGGGUCCGUUUGUCAGAGGGCAUAUCGAGGAGGCACUCGAUGUGAGUUUGUGUGGGGGAAGUAUUCUUCACUCUUGAAGAAUUCUGAAGGAUUGGGAAUAGUUUUUAGUGGUUGAUUCUGACUGUGAGUAUCAACAGAUUUGGGAUUUGAACUCGGAGUCUCUUUUUUGCUAGAGCUCGAAUUGGGAAGAACAGUGGUAAUGGGGGUUAUGCGAAGUGGGGAACUUUGAUUAGUAUUCUGAGAAGUCAUUGUUAAUUAGUUGCAGAGAGAAAUUUGAAGAAGAAGAGGAGCAAGGAAUAUCCGAAUUUCGAAUUGAGUUGGUAAAACUGUCAGAUUUGGGAGAAAGCAGCUUUUAUACUAGAGUUCUCUUCAACUUUUCACGAGGUUCAAGGGCGGCUCAUUUAAUGCCAGCAGUGAUUGUGAAUUUGAAGAGGUAGCGUGCGGUUUUGGCCUUCAUUGUUAACCGGAGUGGGCUUCUCUAUUGGGCUUCCGGUUUCUAUUUGAAUUGUUGUUUGAGAUUUACCUAUUGGGCCUCGGUAAGUUGUAUCUUGGGCCUUUGUUGAUCUCAUUAUAAUUCCUUUUAUUCUGGACCGAUUCCACUUAUACUCUUUCAUUAAACCUCCUGUUUAAUAAAAGACUGGGGGGCAAUGUUGGGCCAUAAUACUUUAGACAUGUUGAGGUGGGUCUUGAAAGUAUUAGGCUGGUUCAUUGGAUCAGCCCAUUGGGUGGAUAUUAUCUUUAUUUUGGGGCCUAUGAAGUAUUGGGCUGUGACAGUGGGCCGAAUUACUAGAUGAGUAUGGUUCCACUUGGGCUUUGACCGGUGUAGAUUGGGGAUAGAACUUUGACUGUCAUCUCUGCAUUGUACUUAAUGAGGAUUGGACAGGACUUAGUCGGCUAAAAGUUGUGGGCCCGAAAAGUCAGUUGCAUACAGGACAAACCGGACUUUGGAGAUAUAAAGCAAGGAUGGCACACCGUGAAAGGUAACUAAUUAAUUAUUGCUCUCAAGUCACUAGAUAUUUAUUCCUCCAUUGUUAACCUUGUGAUCGCCUGUACUGACUCUCACGCCGGAGCUAUCCCCCGACGGUCCAAGCCGUCAAGCUUUUGGUGUUGACUGUGUUUAUUGUGCAGGAUCAGAACGUCUUACGUGAUUGAGACGUGGCAGAAGAUCUUGACGUUAACAGGCCCAAAAAAGGUUAUGUUUGAAUUACGCCCAAAUAGCUGUCAAGUAAACUACAAUCAUGAUUAAAAGUAAAUAACAAAUUGAAAGAUCAAGGUGUGUCUCGGAUUGAAGAAAACAAAGGGAUGAAUAGCAGUAAAAUAGAAACGGAGAUACAAUCAAAGCAUAAAAUGUAAAGUGAUGAUCCAACAAACAGAACAGUAAUGGAAUGCCGAUUGGAAAUAUACAUAAGUAGGCUUUCGUUCGAAUCAGCUUAUAACUGAC
Molecule: long non-coding RNA, 2077 nt
Filed under: Panax ginseng (ginseng)
Lineage: Eukaryota; Viridiplantae; Streptophyta; Magnoliopsida; Apiales; Araliaceae
Description: long non-coding RNA (PGIN_LNC016129)
Source: RNAcentral